CAACUUGAGAGUUUGAUCCUGGCUCAGAACGAACGCUGGCGGCAGGCCUAACACAUGCAAGUCGAACGCCGUAGCAAUACGGAGUGGCAGACGGGUGAGUAACGCGUGGGAACA
Molecule: ribosomal RNA, 114 nt
Filed under: Pseudomonadota bacterium
Lineage: Bacteria; Pseudomonadati; Pseudomonadota
Description: partial 16S ribosomal RNA
Rfam family: Bacterial small subunit ribosomal RNA
Source: RNAcentral